This 253-nucleotide ribosomal RNA is filed under the name uncultured bacterium. RNAcentral describes it as "partial 16S ribosomal RNA". It matches the Rfam family "Bacterial small subunit ribosomal RNA", at positions 524 to 776 of the family's 1533-position model. The record is from RNAcentral.
UACGUAGGACACGAGCGUUAUCCGGAUUUACUGGGCGUAAAGCGUCUGUAGGCGGUUGGAUAAGUUGGGCGUGAAAGCUCCGGGCUUAACUCGGAGAGGCCGUUCAAUACUGUCUAACUUGAGGGCGAGAGAGGGGAGCGGAAUUCCUGGUGUAGCGGUAAAAUGCGCAGAUAUCAGGAGGAACACCAGUGGCGUAGGCGGCUCCCUGGCUCGCACCUGACGCUGAGAGACGACAGCUAGGGGAGCGAACAGG